UGUUAUGAGAACUGUGAGAAACACAGUGGACACAGGGAGAACUGUUGUCUGCACAAUACAUCAACCAAGUAUCGAUAUAUUUGAAGCAUUUGAUGAGCUGCUUCUUAUGAAAAGAGGCGGGCAAGUAAUCUAUGCAGGCCCAUUAGGUCGACAUUCUCAGAAAAUUAUUGAUUAUUUUGAGGCAAUUCCAGGAGUUCAAAAAAUUAAAGAGAAGUAUAAUCCAGCUACCUGGAUGCUAGAGGCCAGUUCAAUUUCCUCAGAAACUCGACUAGGAAUGGAUUUUGCUGAAUACUACAGAUCAUCUGCUUUGCAUCAAAGAAACAAGGCUCUUGUCAAUGAUUUGAGCACACCUCCUCCUGGAGCCAAAGACCUCUACUUUACCACACAAUAUUCCCAGCCCACAUGGGGCCAGUUCAAGUCCUGCUUCUGGAAACAAUGGUGGACUUACUGGAGAAGUCCAGACUAUAACCUUGUCAGAUUCUUCUUUAGUCUGGCUGCAGCACUAAUGAUAGGGACCAUUUUCUGGAACAUUGGCAGUAAAAUAGUUACUAGCGGUGAUCUAAUGAUAGUCAUCGGGGCAAUGUAUGCAGCUGUACUGUUUGUUGGAAUCAAUAAUUGUUCGACUGUACAGCCAAUUGUAGCCGUUGAGAGAACCGUCUUUUAUAGAGAAAGGGCUGCUGGGAUGUAUUCAGCAUUACCAUAUGCUAUGGCACAGGUAAUUGCAGAAAUACCAUACGUACUCAUCCAAACAACAUACUAUACUCUUAUAGUGUACGCUAUGAUUGGCUUUGAGUGGACGGCGGCUAAAUUCUUCUGGUUCUAUUUUGUAACCUUCUUCUCCUUCCUAUACUGGACAUACUAUGGAAUGAUGACUGUUUCCAUCACACCGAACCACCAAGUAGCUGCGAUCUUUGCUGCAGCAUUCUAUGCUCUCUUCAAUCUUUUCUCUGGUUUCUUCAUUCCCAGACCGAGAAUUCCCAAGUGGUGGAUAUGGUAUUACUGGAUCUGUCCAGUUGCAUGGACUGUUUAUGGUUGCAUUGUAUCACAGUAUGGUGAUGUGGAGGCUACUAUCAAAGUCCCAAAUAUGGCUCGAGACCCUAUGAUUAAGGACUACAUUAAAGAUCAUUUCGGAUACAAUCCAGACUUCAUGGGACCAGUUG
RNAcentral lists this unclassified non-coding RNA (1160 nucleotides) under Hevea brasiliensis (rubber tree). Lineage: Eukaryota; Viridiplantae; Streptophyta; Magnoliopsida; Malpighiales; Euphorbiaceae. The record is from RNAcentral.